AUGAGCUUCACCACCCACUUCCCCUUCUCCUCCAACUAUCGGUCCCUGGGCUCCAUGCAGUCACCCAGCCACUGGGUCUGGCUGGUCAGCAUCUAGGCAGGCGCCAAAGGCUCAAGCUCCCAGAUCUCUCCAUAUCCCACUCCACCAGCUUCUGGGGGCCUGGCCACCAGGAUAGUUGGGAGUCUGGCAGGCAUAGGGGGCAUCCAGGGUGAGAAUGAGACCAUGCAAGACCUGAAUGACUCUCUGGCCUCCUAUUUGGAGAGAGUGAGGAGCCUGGAGGCUGAUAACCAGAGACAGGAGAUCAAAAUCCGAGAACACUUAGAGAAGGUCAGAGACUGGGGCAUUACUUCAAGACAGUCAAGAGCUAAGGGCUCAGAUCUUCGCAAAUUCUGUGGCCAAUACCCAGCUUGCUGCCGAUGAUGAUGACUUCAGAGUCAAGUAUGAAACAGAACUGGCCAUGUGCCAGUCUGUGAAUGACAUCCAUCAGCUCUGCAAGGUCAUUGAUGAUAGCAAUGUCACUUGGCUGCAGGUGGAGACAGAGAUCGAGGCUCUCAAGGAGGAGCCACUUUUCAUGAAGAACCACAAGGAGGAAGUAAAGGGUCUAUAAAACCAAAGUGCCACCUCUGGGUUGACCAUGGAGUUGGAUGCCCCAAAACCUCAGGACCUCAAGAUCAUGGCAGACAUCCUGGCCCAGUAUGACGAGCUGGCUCAGAAGAACCAAGAAAAGCUGGACAAGUACUGGUCCCAGCAGAUUGAGGAGAGCACCAGAGUGGUCACCUUGCAGACCGCUGAGAUAGGAGCAGCUGAGAUAACUCUCACAGAGCUGAGACAUGCGGCCCAAUCUUUGGAGAUCAACCGGGACUUGAUGAGAAACCUGAAGGCCAACUUGGAGAACAGCCUGAGGGAGGUGGAGGCCUGCUACACGAAGCAGAUGGAGCAGCUCAACGGGUCCUGCUGCACGUGGAGUCGGAGCUGUCCCAGACCCGGAAAGAGGUGCAGUGCCAGAUCCAGGAGCACCAGGCCUUGCUCAAGGUCAGGCUGAGAUCGCCCCUACCAUUGCCUGCUGGCAAACAGGGAACACUUCUGCCUUGGUGACGCUCUGGAUAGCAGCAACUCCUUGCAAACCAUCCAGAAGACCACCACCUGCAGGAUUGAGGAUGGCAGCGUGGUGUCUGAGACCAAUGACACCAUAGUUCUGAGGCCUUGA
Non-coding RNA from Leptonychotes weddellii (Weddell seal), 1207 nucleotides. The record is from RefSeq and is a predicted model, not a curated record. NCBI's taxonomy places the organism in Eukaryota, Metazoa, Chordata, Mammalia, Carnivora, Phocidae.